This 301-nucleotide ribosomal RNA is filed under the name uncultured bacterium. RNAcentral's name for it is "partial 16S ribosomal RNA". It matches the Rfam family "Bacterial small subunit ribosomal RNA", at positions 509 to 807 of the family's 1533-position model. The record is from RNAcentral.
CAGCCGCCACGGGAAUACGUAGGUGGCAGGCGUUGUCCGGAAUUAUUGGGCGUAAAGGGCUCGCAGGCGGUUUCUUAAGUCUGAUGUGAAAGCCCCCGGCUCAACCGGGGAGGGUCAUUGGAAACUGGGAAACUUGAGUGCAGAAGAGGAGAGUGGAAUUCCACGUGUAGCGGUGAAAUGCGUAGAGAUGUGGAGGAACACCAAUGGCGAAGGCGACUCUCUGGUCUGUAACUGACGCUGAGGAGCGAAAGCGUGGGGAGCGAACAGGAUUAGAUACCCCGGUAGUCCCUGUCUCUUAUAC